CAAUAGCGUAUAUUAAAGUUGUUGCAGUUAAAAAGCUCGUAGUUGGAUUUCUGGUGGGAGCGAUCGGUCUGGCGCUUAGCGCGAGUACUUGCAUCGUCUCCGGCCAUCCUUGGGGAGAGUCUGUCUGGCAUUAAGUUGUCGGGCAGAGGAUCCUCAUCGUUUACUGUGAAAAAAUUAGAGUGUUCAAAGCAGGCUUAUGCCGUUGAAUAUAUUAGCAUGGAAUAAUAAGACAGGACUUUGAUACUAUUUUGUUGGUUUGCGCACCAAAGUAAUGAUUAAUAGGGACAGUUGGGGGUAUUCGUAUUCCGUUGUCAGAGGUGAAAUUCUUGGAUUUACGGAAGACGAACUACUGCGAAAGCAUUUACCAAGGAUGUUUUCAUUAA
This 383-nucleotide ribosomal RNA is filed under the name uncultured eukaryote. RNAcentral describes it as "partial 18S ribosomal RNA". It matches the Rfam family "Eukaryotic small subunit ribosomal RNA", at positions 592 to 976 of the family's 1831-position model. The record is from RNAcentral.